Molecule: ribosomal RNA, 439 nt
Filed under: uncultured bacterium
Lineage: Bacteria
Description: partial 16S ribosomal RNA
Rfam family: Bacterial small subunit ribosomal RNA
Source: RNAcentral
CUACGGGGCGCUGCAGUGGGGAAUAUUGCACAAUGGGGGGAACCCUGAUGCAGCAACGCCGCGUGGAGGAUGACGCAUUUCGGUGUGUAAACUCCUUUUAUAUGUCAAGAAAAUGACGGUAGCAUAUGAAUAAGCACCGGCUAACUCCGUGCCAGCAGCCGCGGUAAUACGGAGGGUGCAAGCGUUACUCGGAAUCACCGGGCGUAAAGGACGCGUAGGCGGGUUGGAAAGUCAGGUGUGAAAUCCUACAGCUUAACUGUAGAACUGCACUUGAAACUUCUAAUCUAGAGUAUGGGAGGGGGAGAUGGAGUUAGUGGUGUAGGGGUAAAAUACGUAGAUAUCACUAGGAAUACCUAAAGCGAAGGCGAUCUCCUGGAACAUUACUGACGCUAAGGCGUGAAAGCGUGGGGAGCAAACAGGAUUAGAUACCCCCGUAGUC